This is a long non-coding RNA of Monomorium pharaonis (pharaoh ant), 1409 nucleotides long. RefSeq lists it as uncharacterized. The transcript has 4 exons. The record is from RefSeq and is a predicted model, not a curated record. NCBI's taxonomy places the organism in Eukaryota, Metazoa, Arthropoda, Insecta, Hymenoptera, Formicidae.
AAACACCUAAAACGACAUGACAAUCGCUCUUCUCAGGUUCCUCUCUGUUAAAUUAUUUAAAUCGACAAACCGAGAAAUAAGCUUUAAAUUUUAAUAGACAAUUGCGAUGCACGAUUAACGACACUGUUCGAUCCGGAAGUACCUAACUUCAGGCAAAGUAAACGAGUCUUCCGCGUUCGCAGAGUUCGCCUGGCACAAUCCGCACAAACAGUGAGCAACGAACGAGGAACGUCGUCGGGAUAAACAGCAAACAGUCGUACAGUAUUGUGGAAUAUCACGCGGAACACGAGGGUUAUCGGUGUGGCUACUGCAAGAGCUCUACCACGAAUUUCAGUCACGGUAUGUGGGCGCACACGUUGACGAUGCAAAACUAUCAAAGUUUGAUUGACAGGGAUUGGAGACGGAACGAUGUUAUUGUUAUAAACCCACGAUGAAUCAGAUCUGCUAUCCUCAGUAUAUCAUUAGAUGCUAAAUUUUAGGAUAUCAAAGUCUUAAAAAAAAGUCUAAAACACAUGACUAAAUUUUUGAAAAAUGAAUUGACGAAUCAUAGUUCUGAAGGUACAAGUGAAGAUCAACAAGAUAAUAAAGAUAUAAGCAAUGAAGAGGCAUUAAACUAUCCUAAGCAUUUGACAAAAGCGCAGAAAGAUAAAUCUCAGACUGAUGUUACGUCCGUCGAUAAUGAAGUCUGUGGAAGAAUAUUCAUUAAUUCAGUAAAAAUGGAAAUUCAGAAAAAUUUGACUUCUGCAUUGAGUAGCGAUCAAGCGCAGUUAACAAAUUCCAACAGCAAAAAUACCUUGCAUGUUAGAAGUGAGAUCACCGAAGUUGAAAAUUUAUUAAUAGUUGUAAAUAUUUGUUAAAUAAUGCUAUUAUUAAGCUGGCUCUAUAUUAAAGAUUUAAUGUUUAAUUAUAUGGCUCUAUAUUAAAGAUUAAUUGUUUAAUUACGUUGCAACCACGAAAUUGAAUCAUAUCAUUUUUCUGUUUCUAUUUUACUCGAUUUUGAUCUGAUUAUAAACUAAUUGCAAUGAGUUUACGUGUAUCUUAUUACAAUAGUUAUUUUCUUCUUCGUCCGAAUAGAGAUUGUUAUUAAGUUAUUUAUUUUUGUAAAUUGAGAUUGGUUCGAACUGCCUCAAUGAGCUUCGAAUACUUAAAGAUUUCGAAAGAAUCUUAUGAGCUUUACAAAAAGUAUCAGAACACGGUACAUGGUUGUUUGAGAAACUCACAGAGCAAUUUUCUAAGUCAUAUUGUUUAAAAUCUAUCGUAUUUGAGUAAAACUAUCCCUACUUUCGAUUAGUUUAAAUUACACAUUUUUUAUUGUCAGAAUGUUAAAGUUUUCUAAGUUUUGCAUUGUAAUUACAAGAGCAAAAUGUAUUGGAUAUUUGGUAUUAGAAAUAUAAAAUUUCAAAAUAUAA